This 301-nucleotide ribosomal RNA is filed under the name uncultured bacterium. Its description in RNAcentral is "partial 16S ribosomal RNA". It matches the Rfam family "Bacterial small subunit ribosomal RNA", at positions 509 to 807 of the family's 1533-position model. The record is from RNAcentral.
CAGUAGCCGCGGGAAUACGAAGGGUGCAAGCGUUACUCGGAAUUACUGGGCGUAAAGCGUGCGUAGGUGGUGGUUUAAGUCCGUUGUGAAAGCCCUGGGCUCAACCUGGGAAUUGCAGUGGAUAAUGGGUCACUAGAGUGUGGUAGAGGAUAGUGGAAUUUCCGGUGUAGCAGUGAAAUGCGUAGAGAUCGGAAGGAACAUCUGUGGCGAAGGCGACUAUCUGGGCCAACACUGACACUGAGGCACGAAAGCGUGGGGAGCAAACAGGAUUAGAUACCCCCGUAGUCCCUGUCUCUUAUAC